UGUUCCUACGGGGGGCAGCAGUGGGGAAUAUUGCACAAUGGGGGAAACCCUGAUGCAGCGAUGCCGCGUGGAGGAAGAAGGUUUUCGGAUUGUAAACUCCUUUUAUCAGGGACGAUAAUGACGGUACCUGAAGAAAAAGCUCCGGCUAACUACGUGCCAGCAGCCGCGGUAAUACGUAGGGAGCGAGCGUUGUCCGGAAUUACUGGGUGUAAAGGGAGCGUAGGCGGGACGGCAAGUCAGAUGUGAAAACUGAGGGCUCAACCUUCAGACUGCAUUUGAAACUGUAUUUCUUGAGUGCUGGAGAG
RNAcentral lists this ribosomal RNA (305 nucleotides) under uncultured bacterium. RNAcentral's name for it is "bacterial SSU rRNA". It matches the Rfam family "Bacterial small subunit ribosomal RNA", at positions 334 to 656 of the family's 1533-position model. The record is from RNAcentral.